CCUCUCGGAGUUCCAGUGGCUUCUCCCCCCUCUGGCUCAGAGGCCCAGGAAAGAGAGAGAAGACCAACCAAGGGGUGGCUGGAGUCCCAAGGCCAUGAACUUUCAGGAAAAUGUGACCCUGGCCAUGGCCUUGUUCACCAUCCUGACCUCCAUCUAUUUCUUCAACAAGGCUCAGCAGUGAGAAGACACAGGACCUCCCCGCACAAGAGCCCUGCCUCUCCCUCUGCCAUCGCUCUGAGGCCAGAUAAAUCCCUCCAGUGGCCCUGUGCCCCCACCCAAGAUAAGAAUCCCAGGCCCUCCACUGAGCAUUGGAGGCUGCAUGUAACCUGACCCCCUCCAGGCUUAAAAAAAAAAAAAAAAUCUCACCCACCUCCCAUGCCCACCCUGGUGUAUUCUUGGCCACGGCGAACUCGAAGAUAGUCCCAAAUGCAGCACCACGCGUUUGCACUGCUGGGUCCCAGCCUGGAAUGCCCUUUCCCAUGUCUUUGUUUGUUUGAGA
Molecule: long non-coding RNA, 499 nt
Filed under: Homo sapiens (human)
Lineage: Eukaryota; Metazoa; Chordata; Mammalia; Primates; Hominidae
Description: HSALNT0398506
Source: RNAcentral